This is a long non-coding RNA of Procambarus clarkii (red swamp crayfish), 1104 nucleotides long. RefSeq lists it as uncharacterized. NCBI's taxonomy places the organism in Eukaryota, Metazoa, Arthropoda, Malacostraca, Decapoda, Cambaridae. The record is from RefSeq and is a predicted model, not a curated record.
CGCAAAGUACGAGUGUACAAGUUAGUGUUAGGGCGUGUUGUUACUCUGAGCUGGUACCCCGUUACCCUUUUGGGGUCGCUAGGGCUGACAGCCCCCUAGCUUACACUGAUUUUGUACACCGUCAAAACGCGAAUACAUAGGGUCAAAAAUAAUUUAAAUCUGGCGUAUAUACCCUCUUGAGGGAGUAUACGCAGAUAUUUGUCCUGAAAUAUUAAAAUUUUUUAAUUACAUACUGAAUUAAAUUGUUUUUCAGUUGUAUUGUUAGUGAAUGAGGUAAUGGUGGGAAUAUGCCUUGCAUGAAAUUUACCUAGUGGUGAGGUAUGAAGAUUGGAAACUAACGUUGUGAUGGGACCAGUGGUGGACCGAUGAUUUACGUGAGACCUGUGGCAGCCGAGCAGAAGGUGGUGGCAGAUGUUUUGGUUUAGCAAGAUGUGCUACUGAUAGCUGGAUCAUAUGUGGUAAUACCGGAUAGAUUUGCGGAACUUCAGUGUUCGUGAAGACUUUGCAGCUGUGACUCGUAGGUCUUGCUGCGAGCAGCCGCGUCCAACAGGCUGGUUGAUGAGUCCGGCAACCAGGAUGCCUGGUCGACGACCGGGCUGGGGGGGACGCCAAGGCCUUGAAGCACCUCAAGGUAACCUCAAGGAUGUGAGCGUGUUGAGAGAUUGGGGGAUGUGCUGAAUUGAGCGAUGACGUGUCUAUUUGUUGGUAAACGUGCGUGGGGUGGCGACGAGGAGCAACGCGACCGUCCAGAGUAAUGGAAGAGGCCGUGACAUUGAGGCGGAUUGAAGGUGAUGGUAAUAAUCAUGGUUGAUUGGUAGAGGGAAUGAGAGGCAGCGGAGUUUGACGUACAACGGAACCACAGGCGGCGGUGCCAGAAUAUUGUUGAAGACAAGGAUCCCGCGACCCACACCGUGACUAACUGAAAGGACUUUGCAAAUAUAAAGAUACGACCCCCUCCCCCGCUCAGCUCGUUGUUGCUGUGUGGGUGUUUAGUGGGCGGCUGGUGGAGUGUGAUGCUCCUUGGGACAGUCCUCUGUCCUUUUCUAGCCUUGUGCUCCUAGUGCCGUCCUCUCCAAUUCUGCUGGGCACGUUUGCCUGUUUCGU